Molecule: non-coding RNA, 30 nt
Filed under: Mus musculus (house mouse)
Lineage: Eukaryota; Metazoa; Chordata; Mammalia; Rodentia; Muridae
Source: RNAcentral
UGUAUAAUAUGUGGCUGUCCUACAACUAGC